RNAcentral lists this transfer RNA (108 nucleotides) under Nitrososphaera viennensis EN76. It matches the Rfam family "tRNA". Rfam says of the family: Transfer RNA (tRNA) molecules are approximately 80 nucleotides in length. Their secondary structure includes four short double-helical elements and three loops (D, anti-codon, and T loops). The record is from Rfam by way of RNAcentral. Lineage: Archaea; Thermoproteati; Nitrososphaerota; Nitrososphaeria; Nitrososphaerales; Nitrososphaeraceae.
GCGGGGGUCGCCAAGCCCGGUCAACGGCGCAGGGCUUAGAAUGGGUAUGCAUUAGCCCCUACAACCCUGUUCCUUAGGGAUUCGUGGGUUCAAAUCCCACCCCCCGCA